UGCCAGCAGCCGCGGUAAUACGGAGGUCCCAAGCGUUGUUCGGAUUCACUGGGCGUAAAGGGUGCGUAGGUGGCCAGGUCAGUCUGGUGUGAAAGCUUCGGGCUUAACCCGAAAAUUGCACUGGAUACUACUUGGCUGGAGGAUCGGAGGGGAGACUGGAAUUCCUGGUGUAGCAGUGAAAUGCGUAGAUAUCAGGAGGAACACCAGUGGCGAAGGCGAGUCUCUGGACGAUUCCUGACACUGAGGCACGAAGGCCAGGGGAGCGAACAGGAUUAGAUA
This 279-nucleotide ribosomal RNA is filed under the name uncultured bacterium. RNAcentral's name for it is "partial 16S ribosomal RNA". It matches the Rfam family "Bacterial small subunit ribosomal RNA", at positions 506 to 784 of the family's 1533-position model. The record is from RNAcentral.